GCGGAGGAAAAGAAACCAACAGGGAUUGCCUUAGUAACGGCGAGUGAAGCGGCAACAGCUCAAAUUUGAAAUCUGGUCCCCUUUGGGGGCCCGAGUUGUAAUUUGAAGAGGAUGCUUUUGGCGAGGCGCCGUCCGAGUUCCCUGGAACGGGACGCCGCAGAGGGUGAGAGCCCCGUACGGUCGGACGCCGAGCCUCUGUAAAGCUCCUUCGACGAGUCGAGUAGUUUGGGAAUGCUGCUCAAAAUGGGAGGUAAACCCCUUCUAAAGCUAAAUACUGGCCAGAGACCGAUAGCGCACAAGUAGAGUGAUCGAAAGAUGAAAAGCACUUUGAAAAGAGAGUUAAAAAGCACGUGAAAUUGUUAAAAGGGAAGCGCUUGCGACCAGACUUGCGCCCGUCGGAUCAACCGUCGCUUGCGGCGGCGCACUCCGGCGGGCUCAGGCCAGCAUCAGUUCGUCCGGGGGGAGAAAGGCGGCGGGAAUGUGGCUCUUCGGAGUGUUAUAGCCCGCCGUGUAAUACCCUCGGGUGGACUGAGGACCGCGCGUAUGCAAGGAUGCGGCGUA
Molecule: ribosomal RNA, 561 nt
Filed under: Scopulariopsis brevicaulis (arsenic fungus)
Lineage: Eukaryota; Fungi; Ascomycota; Sordariomycetes; Microascales; Microascaceae
Description: eukaryotic LSU rRNA
Rfam family: Eukaryotic large subunit ribosomal RNA
Source: RNAcentral